UUUCCGUAGGUGAACCUGCGGAAGGAUCAUUGUCGAUGCCGCACAAACCAGGAUUGACGCGCGAACGAGUCCACAAACACCCGAGGCGGGGAAGGGCCGGCCGUGCGCGGCCGGCGCCCCGUCUCAAACAAGAACAAAACCCCGGCGCGGAAAGCGCCAAGGAAGCCAAACGUUUCUGCUCUCCCCGCCGGCUCCGGAGACGGCAUCCGGUCGGGGCGACGAGUGACCACAAGAGUUAAGAACGACUCUCGGCAACGGAUAUCUCGGCUCUU
Molecule: unclassified non-coding RNA, 272 nt
Filed under: root metagenome
Description: partial contains small subunit ribosomal RNA, internal transcribed spacer 1, and 5.8S ribosomal RNA
Source: RNAcentral